RNAcentral lists this transfer RNA (72 nucleotides) under Frankineae bacterium MT45. It matches the Rfam family "tRNA". From Rfam's summary of the family: Transfer RNA (tRNA) molecules are approximately 80 nucleotides in length. Their secondary structure includes four short double-helical elements and three loops (D, anti-codon, and T loops). Further hydrogen bonds mediate the characteristic L-shaped molecular structure. tRNAs have two regions of fundamental functional importance: the anti-codon, which is responsible for specific mRNA codon recognition, and the 3' end, to which the tRNAs corresponding amino acid is attached (by aminoacyl-tRNA synthetases). tRNAs cope with the degeneracy of the genetic code in two manners: having more than one tRNA (with a specific anti-codon) for a particular amino acid; and 'wobble' base-pairing, i.e. permitting non-standard base-pairing at the 3rd anti-codon position. The record is from Rfam by way of RNAcentral. RNAcentral also lists the same sequence under 1 other name. Lineage: Bacteria; Bacillati; Actinomycetota; Actinomycetes; Frankiales.
GGGCGCUUAGCUCAGCGGAAGAGCUCUCGGUUUACACCCGAGCGGUCGGCGGUUCGAACCCGUCAGCGCCCA